GGUGAUGCCCUUGUUGGCAGAGUCAUUCCGUGAUGACAUUUCCUGUUAUAAAUGAUGACACACUGUUUAUAUAAGGCGGGAUUCGCAUUUCAAACAGAUCAGAAACUGAACUAUCGUACAACAGAACGGAUACAGCGUACAACGUGGAAAGAGACCACAAUCUGGAGUAUUGUUAUUAGAACUUUUGGAAGCAUUCAAAAUUGCAAGUUUACAACAAGACCUAACGAAGGAAAGAGAGGAUUCGAUGUCACAAUGGCUUUUGUUUUAUCGUUCGUGCUGCUUGUUUUAGCUGGUAAGAAUUGCAUUUAGUUAAGCUUAAAUUCUUUAGCUUGUUGGAACACGAACGAGCAAAAGAUGCCAAGCUUUAUUUAAUUGUUAUAGCUUGUAACCUCCGGUCUGUUUAAAAUUUUGAGUUUACCUUGAGCCUUUAAUAAGCGUAAUUGAAAGCUUACAUUGUACUUGGAUUAACGAUGG
This is a long non-coding RNA of Orbicella faveolata, 474 nucleotides long. Lineage: Eukaryota; Metazoa; Cnidaria; Anthozoa; Scleractinia; Merulinidae. The record is from RefSeq and is a predicted model, not a curated record.